This is a long non-coding RNA of Carassius auratus (goldfish), 617 nucleotides long. RefSeq lists it as uncharacterized. The record is from RefSeq and is a predicted model, not a curated record. The transcript is spliced from 3 exons. Lineage: Eukaryota; Metazoa; Chordata; Actinopteri; Cypriniformes; Cyprinidae.
GUGAGUACCGUGGGGUUUCAGUCAGGGCCUUCAGUAAACAACUGUUAGAUACCUGUACAGCCCUGCUGCCCCUGUCGGCCCACCGCUGCUGUCAGACAACAUCUCCAAGAUGCUAUACACCGCAGGACUAGAUGCCCAUCCCAAGGUUUCUAGAGUUACACCAGCUCCAGACUGAAUCCAAACUCACUUGUGAAGACUUCAGAUGACACCAACGCUCACAAAGACUACAGACGACGGCGACUGUACAUGAACACACAAAACAAAUAUUAUCCUUAUUUUGCCUAUAAGAGUAAAUCUGAUGAUUUUCAACCUGCUUUAUUGCUACGUCUCUUAUAUCUGUAAAUGAACAGUAUUUACUCUCUGAGUUACGUGGACCUACAUGUCCCCUUUUAUUUGUAAGCAGCACUCUGCAGGAUGAUGCAAAAUGAAAUGACGAGUUUUGACGAAAUGACACAAUGCAGUAUCUAAAUGAAAACAUGCUGUUUUGCAUCAGUUUUGUGGCAAAUAAACGGUAUCUUGGAGAAAGAAUAAACAUUGUUCUUUUACAAAUGUUCUUUUACGAAUGAAUUUUUUUUUACUUACCCUUUAAAAAUGUUGAAAGACAAUGUUUAUGUUAA